RNAcentral lists this ribosomal RNA (208 nucleotides) under uncultured Massilia sp. Its description in RNAcentral is "partial 16S ribosomal RNA". It matches the Rfam family "Bacterial small subunit ribosomal RNA", at positions 136 to 346 of the family's 1533-position model. The record is from RNAcentral. Lineage: Bacteria; Pseudomonadati; Pseudomonadota; Betaproteobacteria; Burkholderiales; Oxalobacteraceae.
GUGGGGGAUAACGUAGCGAAAGUUACGCUAAUACCGCAUACGAUCCACGGAUGAAAGCAGGGGACCUUCGGGCCUUGAGCUUCUGGAGCGGUCGAUAUCUGAUUAGCUAGUUGGUGGGGUAAAGGCUCACCAAGGAGACGAUCAGUAGCUGGUCUGAGAGGACGACCAGCCACACUGGAACUGAGACAAGGUCCAGAAUCCUACGGGA